Molecule: ribosomal RNA, 495 nt
Filed under: uncultured bacterium
Lineage: Bacteria
Description: partial 16S ribosomal RNA
Rfam family: Bacterial small subunit ribosomal RNA
Source: RNAcentral
GACGAACGCUGGCGGCGUGCCUAAUACAUGCAAGUAGAACGCUGAAGGAGGAGCUUGCUUCUCUGGAUGAGUUGCGAACGGGUGAGUAACGCGUAGGUAACCUGCCUGGUAGCGGGGGAUAACUAUUGGAAACGAUAGCUAAUACCGCAUAAUAGUAGAUGUUGCAUGACAUUUGCUUAAAAGGUGCAAUUGCAUCACUACCAGAUGGACCUGCGUUGUAUUAGCUAGUUGGUGAGGUAACGGCUCACCAAGGCAACGAUACAUAGCCGACCUGAGAGGGUGAUCGGCCACACUGGGACUGAGACACGGCCCAGACUCCUACGGGAGGCAGCAGUAGGGAAUCUUCGGCAAUGGACGGAAGUCUGACCGAGCAACGCCGCGUGAGUGAAGAAGGUUUUCGGAUCGUAAAGCUCUGUUGUAAGAGAAGAACGAGUGUGAGAGUGGAAAGUUCACAAUGUGACGGUAUCUUACCAGAAAGGGACGGCUAACUACGUG